UGAGUACAAGAUGCUACGGCAUUGAAGCAGUCUAUGUCAUACUUCCAAGAAAAGCUUGCAAUGUCAUAAACAGAUAAUGCCUGUACCAUAACCGACACAGGUGGGUAGGUAGAGUAUACUAAGGGGCGCGAGAUAACUCUCUCUAAGGAACUCGGCAAAAUGACUCCGUAACUCGGGAGAAGGAGUACCUUAUUUUAUAAGGUUGCAAUAACAAGGUCCAAGCAACUGUUUACCAAAAACACAGGUCUCCGCUAAGUCGUAAGACGAUGUAUGGGGGCUGACGCCUGCCCAGUGCCAGAAGGUUAAAGAAGUUGGUUAGCAUUAGCGAAGCUGAUAACUGAAGCCCUGGUGAACGGCGGCCGUAACAAUAACGGUCCUAAGGUAGCGAAAUUCCUUGUCGGGUAAGUUCCGACCCGCACGAAAGGCGUAAUGAUUUGGAUACUGUCUCGGAGAGGGGCUCGGUGAGAUAGACUUGUCUGUGAAGAUGCGGACUACCUGCACCUGGACAGAAAGACCCUAUGAAGCUUUACUGUAACUUGAGAUUGAAAAUUGGACUUUAUUUGCGCAGUAUAGGUGGGAGACCUCGAAAGUAUUCUUGCGGGAAUAUUGGAGUCAUCAGUGAGAUACCACUCUUAUAAUGUUAGAUUUCUAACUUUGUAUCAUUAUCUGGUCAAAGAACAGUUUCAGGCGGGCAGUUUGACUGGGGCGGUCGCCUCCCAAAUGGUAACGGAGGCGCACAAAGGUUUCCUCUGAACGUGUAGAAAUCGUAUCUAGAGUGUAAAGGCAUAAGGAAGCUUGACUGUGAGACCUACAAGUCGAGCAGGGACGAAAGUCGGUCUUAGUGAUCUGACGGUGCUGAGUGGAAAGGCCGUCACUCAACGGAUAAAAGUUACUCUAAGGAUAACAGGCUGAUCUCCCCCAAGAGUUCACAUCGACGGGGAGGUUUGGCACCUCGAUGUCGGCUCAUCGCAUCCUGGGGCGGUAGUACGUCCCAAGGGUUGGGCUGUUCGCCCACGAAAGCGGUACGCGAGCUGGGUUCAGAACGUCGUGAGACAGUUCGGUCCAUAUCCGGUGUAGGCGUUAGAAUAUUGAGAGGAGCCUUCUUUAGUACGAGAGGACCGAGAAGGACAUACCUCUGGUGUACCAGUUAUCGUGCCAACGGUAAACGCUGGGUAGCUAUGUAUGGAGAGGAUAACCGCUGAAAGCAUCUAAGUGGGAAGCCCACCUCAAGAUAAGUAUUCUC
RNAcentral lists this ribosomal RNA (1243 nucleotides) under metagenome. RNAcentral's name for it is "bacterial LSU rRNA". It matches the Rfam family "Bacterial large subunit ribosomal RNA", at positions 1564 to 2815 of the family's 2925-position model. The record is from RNAcentral.